Long non-coding RNA from Amphiprion ocellaris (clown anemonefish), 2809 nucleotides. RefSeq lists it as uncharacterized. The record is from RefSeq and is a predicted model, not a curated record. NCBI's taxonomy places the organism in Eukaryota, Metazoa, Chordata, Actinopteri, Pomacentridae. The transcript is spliced from 4 exons.
CGACAGCUCAUAUUUAACUGUCUGUAGUUCCGUUUUGAUGGGUAUUAAACUUUCUUUCAAAGCCGACAGGAGCUGGGUCUUUAAAAUAACCGCCGUCUCGUUACAGAGUGAAAGCAGCAGUUCCUCCUUAAGGUCAGAGAUUGCAGCAUCUGAGGGCCUCUUCAAAAGAAGACGUAGUUGAUGAAGGCGUUCUGGAGCAGGACCAGAAAGACCACGACCAAGCAGCCUUGAGAUCUUAGGCAGCAUCUCCCUCAGAACUACAGACUCUUCACAACCUGCUCAAACUCUUGGUACAGGACCUCACCACACGGGUCAAGAAGGUCGCUGGUCGAAGCAGUUCGUAGAGUCGGGAUGCUUGGAGGAAAAUGAGGUUCGCCGGCUUUCACAUGGAGAUGCUGCUGUAGAUGCUGCUGUAGAGACCAAAGAACUACAGACUCUUCACAACCUGCUCAAACUCUUGGUACAGGACCUCACCACACGGGUCAAGAAGGUUCCUGUCUCAUUUCUACUCUGAAGCUCACCUUCUCCUGCUCAAACUGCUGACAGAUGUUUCUGCUGCUCUAAAGUCUGGUCUCCAGAACUUCCUAAAAACUCUCAAAGUCUCUUCUGCUGCAGGUUGCUUUGUAGAACUGUUGCAGAAAACCUCACUAAACCACAUGGAGGGGCCUCAAGAUAGUCAUCCAAAUGAAACCAUACAAAAACCAAACUAGCACAACCCAAACGCUAAAGUCUCCUGCAGCCUACCAGAGAACCUCUGAGAACAGAGAAUCAGGACAGGAACUCUUACCUUCUGGACAACCAACGCUGGUUCACAAACAAGAAUACAGAAUGUGUCUGACCAAAAACCUCUAAAGACUCACUACAGCCAAGAUAAAGACACAACUCAGCUGCACCAAAUCCACUAAUCACUGCACACAUUAGCAGCAUGUGCUAACUGUGGCUAAAGAACCACAUUUACCAAGACAGCUAUCCAGUACAAAGCCCUGAAACACACCAAGAAACACAUUAAAGAUGAUUUUACUGCUGGAAGCUGCAAGCCAACGCCUAAAGAACAAACUAAAGCAAUGGAGCCAAACCCAGUUCAGUGGUGAAGCAGAGGAAAUGUUUGAUGCAGCCAAAUAAAGCAGGAAGACACUGAGCUGCUCAGGUGUUCCUGAUAACACCAAGCAGCCACCUGGACAGCCAAUAGGAACACAGCUUACUGGAAGUCCAGAGGGUUGGGUUAGUGAAGGAAAUUUAGUUUAAAGUUGAAGCAGAAAGUUAACAAAGAAAGUUGAAAACCACCUUCUGAUCCCUGAAAUGUCUGAGUUUUCACACAAUGAAAGCCUGAACAUGUCAAAUUGGUUUCAUAGUAGAACCAUCAUUGUAAAAACCUCAUAGUAUGGUGUGUUGCUCAAAAAACAUUACGACCCGGCUGUCUAGGGUUGCCGAGGAGCAACACAAAAACAGGACAAACGCUGGUUUCCAGGGGGUUAGACGGCUAUUUAUUUGAAAGAGGAAGUUUACAACAACACAACAUGUGAGCAGAAAAAUCACAGUCUGUCUUUAGUUCAGCUGAAAAUAUUAGUUUUUGUCUUUUUUAUUUUCCAAACUUUUCAGGAAGUAGAUGAAGAAUAAUUAAAGCUCUCAUGUAGAAGUUCAACUUAUUUUGGAUCCUUGUUGAGAGUUUAAUCUUAGAGUUUGUAAAGCUGUUGAGUUUUUAGAGUCACAUGAAUUGUUUUGACAUUUAAUAACCGAGUCCUGAAAUAAAAUUACAGUUGUGGAUUUCUGUCAUUUAGUCUGGACUAAACAAAUAACAGCAGCAUAAAUCUCAAAUGUCAUUAUGAGGAGUCUAGAUUGAGGUUUCUCACUUGAUAAUGAUCAAAACAUGAAAUUUAGGUUGAUUUAAAGGAAUAUUCCACCUUAAAUCUUUGAAUGUUGACCUAAAAGGUUGGUUUCAGGAAGUAUUCCACCCACAAGGUCCUCAAACAUCCACCUUAAAGGAAUAUUCCACCAAAAAUCCUUGGACAUGCACCUAAAAUGUUGGUUUAACCGAGUAUUCCAUCCAAAAUCCUCAAAGAGACCUGAGGGGCUGGUUAAAGAAAAAAAUCCUUCAAUGUAGACCAAAAAAGUUAGUCUGGAGGAAUAUUCCACCUGAAAUGUAGACCUGAGAAGUUGGUUCGGAAGAAUAUACCAUCCUAAACAUCCUUAAAUGUAGACUAAAAGGCGGUUUGGAUGAAAAUUGCACCUAAAAUCCUCCAAUGUAGACCUAAAAGGUGAGUUUAAUGGUAUAUUCCACCUCAAAUUCACUACUGUAGACCUUGGAGGUUGGUCUGAUUGUAUAUUCCACCCAACAUCCUUGAACAUAUACAUAAAAAGUUCAUUCAAAGGAAUAUUCCACCUAAAAUCUUUCAAUGUAGACCAAAAAAUCUUGGUGUAAAGGAGUAUUCCACCUUGAAUGUAGACCUAAAGGAUGGUUUGGAGUGAUAUUCUACUCUAAAAUCUUCCAAUGUAGACCUAAAAGGUUGAUCUGAUGGUAUAUUCUACCCAACAUCCUUGGAACAUUUACCUAAAAGGUUGGUUUAAUGGUAUAUUCCCAGAAGAACCCUUGAACAUUGGGCUUAAUGGUAUAUUCCACCCAAAAUACUUGUACAUAUACCAAGAAGUCAGUGUAAAGGAAAUGUAGACCUAAAAGGAUUGUUUAAAGGAAUAUUUAAACGAUUAUUUUCAUUAUUUAAUAAUCUGUUAUCAGUCAGAACCCUGGCAAACUUAAUUUCAUCAGUUUUUUUAAUGGAAGUCACAAAUAAAGGAGCUCUUGGUUUUUCCUGGC